Molecule: long non-coding RNA, 208 nt
Filed under: Brassica napus (rape)
Lineage: Eukaryota; Viridiplantae; Streptophyta; Magnoliopsida; Brassicales; Brassicaceae
Description: long non-coding RNA (BNAP_LNC006171)
Source: RNAcentral
GGGUCGAAGUGGUUGAUUUAAUUUGUUAUGGCACCAAAUGGAAAAAAAUGUAAAGAUAGUAAUCAAUAGUGAAUUCAAAAUUCAAAAGUUUUAUAGUUAACCAAAAAUGAAUUUCAAUAUCAACGGUUAAUCUACUGUGAAAAGUGAGAACCCUUUUGAUAAAGUAGUUUAACUAAAAUUAAUUAAUAUUUUGUAUUAAAAACUUAUU